UUCCUUCAAUUCAUAAGCAUGAUGAUUGAGUGUUCAAGCCAUAUGCAUAAACUGUGCCUCCCUUAAACCUUGUUACAAUGUUGGCACAUUACCCACCUGACA
Small nucleolar RNA from Cavia porcellus (domestic guinea pig), 102 nucleotides. It matches the Rfam family "Small nucleolar RNA U13". The record is from Rfam. Lineage: Eukaryota; Metazoa; Chordata; Mammalia; Rodentia; Caviidae.